GACGAACGCUGGCGGCGUGCUUAACACAUGCAAGUCGAACGAUGAAGCCUUCGGGUGGAUUAGUGGCGAACGGGUGAGUAACACGUGGGUGAUCUGCCCUGCACUUCGGGAUAAGCUUGGGAAACUGGGUCUAAUACCGGAUAUACCUCUUUGACUGCAUGGUCUUGGGGGGAAAGCUUUUGCGGUGUGGGAUGGGCCCGCGGCCUAUCAGCUUGUUGGUGGGGUUAAGGCCUACCAAGGCGACGACGGGUAGCCGGCCUGAGAGGGUGUCCGGCCACACUGGGACUGAGAUACGGCCCAGACUCCUACGGGAGGCAGCAGUGGGGAAUAUUGCACAAUGGGCGCAAGCCUGAUGCAGCGACGCCGCGUGAGGGAUGACGGCCUUCGGGUUGUAAACCUCUUUCAGCAGGGACGAAGCGCAAGUGACGGUACCUGUAGAAGAAGCACCGGCCAACUAC
RNAcentral lists this ribosomal RNA (458 nucleotides) under uncultured bacterium. Its description in RNAcentral is "bacterial SSU rRNA". It matches the Rfam family "Bacterial small subunit ribosomal RNA", at positions 28 to 504 of the family's 1533-position model. The record is from RNAcentral.